UCAGUAUUCUCCAGAGACUUAAAGGAGGAUAUACUGUCUUGUAGGAUGAGUGGUCCAAAGCGCUGGACACAGAAAAGGCAGUAAUGUACCACAAUGUUACAAAAGCAGUGAUUCUAAUCUCUAUGCAGGUAGAAAAAAAUUAUCUGACAAAAAUUUGCAGAUCUAAAAACAUGGGUUAUAUUUCAAACUUUGUACAUAUAUCGAUAUUUCAGUUUAACCUGGAAAAUUGGACAGAAAGAUAAAAAGGAAAAAAAUGCCAGAUAGCUGUGUGAUCUUAAGUUCCACAACGCCUUUCAAGACAUUUCAAAUAUUAGAAGAACUUAACCUAACAAUGGUAAAAUAAUGCCUGUGCAAUACAUAUCUAACACCCCCUCCAACAGAAGCUACAUAAACUGAUAUGCAUCAAAUCAUGUCACCCUUGACAAAACAGAAACAACAUCACAACCCUAAUCAAAGGUUGAGUAGUAGUCUAUGUUAUCUUCCUCAUCAAAUAGAACAAAUCUUUCCUGUAAUUAGGGAGGAAUGUAGGUAAUCAUCUAUAGACAAAUCUUAUACUAAACAGUCAUUGUUUUAGUUUUUUUGUAAUGCAUAUUUUUAUUGCUUAAUAUGAGGUAUGGGAUUUGCUCAUUGUUGAAUGCUGUAUGGUGACCUAUAGUUUUUACAUUCUUUGUCCUAAUAGAUAGUUGUCUCAUUGGCAAUCAUACCAGUGACAGUGUGACUCAUUCCCAUAAGUCCAGUCAUUUUCCUUUCUAGUCAAGUAACAGAUUGCAUUUUGCAAUUUUGUUUCAUUUUCUAUAGACUUCAACAUAGACAUCUCAAUUGACUGUCAAAACUGAUUAAUUAAAUGCAUCAUCUUUGUUAAUGAAUAAAUUUGUGGUAUCACUCAAAAAAAUUGAAUACAACAAAAAUAAUACAAGAGUGUACCCACUGAAUUGUCUGUUUAAUUGAUCAUAAUGGAAUAUUUUAUGUUAAAACUAUUUCAGGUAGAGGUUUUAAACCAAAGUGGUGGUCUGAAUGUUUUGACCACCAAACUUUUACAAAGGACCAACACAUUUUUGGUAUUUUGUAAUAGAAACACUAUCGAGAACCAGCAGAUUUUCUUCAAGGAACAUCAGAGGGAAAAGAUUUCCAGAACUCUGUUUUAACUCAAUAUUGUCAAUUGAAAAUGAGGUCAAGGUCAGAUGAAGGGAUUACCAUACCAGACCAACAUGGACACCAUGGCACCAUUCCUUGCACCAAAUAUACUUGAUCUUGUUACCUGAUUGUUUGCUCAUAGUAUCAGAGAAACACAUCUAACCACUGGAACUUAAGGUUUUGACCAAUGAACUAUGAAAAUGAGGUCAAGGUUAUUAUAUAAACCCUAAUAGAGGAAAAUGUAUAUUUUACAAUCAUUCAACACCAAAUAUUGUUGUCCUUAAUACUUAUAAUAUCUCAGAAACGAACGUUACAUAAAAUGAGAAUGUAUUACAUUUUGAUCGCUGAAGAUGCAUGUACAUUGCAAUGGACUUAUUCAUUAUUUGUAGGAGGAGGUAUUGCACAAUUGUGUUUAGUCAUACAUCAAGUAUAGAAACUUAUAUAAUUUAAACAAGAGCUUAUCAACAUUACACUUAAUGCUAAAUUGAUAUGAGACAUUUAUUUCUGCAUUGAAUUGAAAGAUACUAAAAAAUAUAAAAAAAUUAAAAUUUUAAUGAUCAACAACAAACUUGUCUUAUCAAUUAAAAGUAAUCAGUUAUUUUCCUAAGAAACAUUCCACUUACUCCAAUUAUCCUAAAACAUGAUAUGCUAACACCAAUGAUAACAACCUCCUUCAAGCAUUAAAAUUACAACAAAUGGCCUAUAAAUAUCAUGGUAAACACAAGUCUUAGACUUCAAAUUUUAGACCUAGGUG
This 1888-nucleotide long non-coding RNA is filed under the name Mytilus galloprovincialis (Mediterranean mussel). Lineage: Eukaryota; Metazoa; Mollusca; Bivalvia; Mytilida; Mytilidae. The record is from RNAcentral.